RNAcentral lists this ribosomal RNA (408 nucleotides) under uncultured bacterium. RNAcentral's name for it is "partial 16S ribosomal RNA". It matches the Rfam family "Bacterial small subunit ribosomal RNA", at positions 29 to 526 of the family's 1533-position model. The record is from RNAcentral.
AGUGAACGCUGGCGGCGUGCCUAAUACAUGCAAGUCGAACGGAGUGGCGCACGGGUGAGUAAUGUAUAGCUAAUCUGCCCUACACUAGAGGACAACAGUUGGAAACGACUGCUAAUACUCUAUAGUGUAGGAUGAGGCUAUAUUGUAUCAGCUAGUUGGUGAGGUAAUGUCUCACCAAGGCUAUGACGCAUAACUGGCCUGAGAGGAUGAUCAGUCACACUGGAAGGGAGACACCGUCAAGACUCCUACGGGAAGGGGCGAUAGGGAAAAUGGCUCAAGGGGGGAAACCCAGAAGGAGCAACGGCGCGUGGAAGAUGACUGUUAUCGGAGCAUAAGCUCCUUUGGUUAGGAAAGCGGUACCUAACGAAUAAGCAACGGCUAACUCCGUGCCAGCAGCCGCGGUAAUAC